AGUUUCAUAGAUGUGCCUUAGUCCGCUCAGGCUGCUCUAACAAAAUACCACAGACUGGCUGGCCUAAACAGCAGAUACUUAUGCCUCGCAGUUCUGGAUGCUGGGAAGUCCAGGAUCAAGGUGCUGACAGAUUGGUUCUUGCCGAGGGUUCACCUCCCAGCAUGCAUAUGGCCACUACCUCCCCGUGUACAACCUAUUUGUGCACAGCAGGGAGAGAGAGACUGAGAAGUUCCAUUUGGGCGGAAGCUGUGCUGUUCUGGAAGAGACGCCAGGCCUUCCCAGCCUCCGGUCUGAGGCUGUCUUCCAGGAUCUGCUGUCAAGGCCUAUUCCUCAGGGACCAGCUGUUGGCAAAAGGAGCCCCCAGGAGGGGGAAUGAGAGUGGCAAUCCGAAUGCUGAAGGCCAGCUCUGUGCAUGCCCUGGGCGGGGCACACACGUCAUCUUCUCCAACCCUCACAGGAAUCCUGCAAGGCUAAGACUGUCACCAUCCACUCUACAGAUGAAGAAAAGGAGGUGCAGAUGGGUGAAGUGACUUGUACAAGGUCACAAAGUCCCUGAAUGGCCAAACUAGGGUUCUAGCCCAGGCUCCUUCCUACAGCAAAUUUCCAGAAGACCAAGAUGGUAUGUUUCGGUUUUAGGAACUGCAUGAAUGGUGAGGGCCCAUGGGCUGCCCUCGGGUUUUAGAGACCGAAGUUGCCUUUGUGGCCAACUCACUCUCCCAUCUUGACAAGACAGCAGACUAUAUGUUUCCAAAAUGCGGCUCAUCAUCUCAGCUUCAGGUCAUCUGUGCCAGCCCUGUGCUGCCACAGCCACUGCUCUUCCCCAGGAGCCCUUCUCCAUCCUGCUGCUGGAGACACACAUGCGUGCAAGCGGCAGGCAACCAGAACGACAGGGAGCGCAGAAGCUGGCGGCACUGAAGCAGGCCUGACCCAGCUCAGGUCUGCCUGGACGGGGCGGUGCCGCAACAGAAAGGGCAAAAGGCUUGGAAUUUACAGGAAGCUGGGAGCAUCUUUGAUCGCAUGGGGCAGCUUUAAAUGCAGCCACAACCUGGGCGUUCAAAGCGAAGUGAGGAGGGCCUGUAGAGAGGAAAUAUCUGAAAUUGUGUGGAAACGAUUUAUAAAGAAAAGGGCAGUUCCCGACAUUCAUAUGUCCCUGAGUCACUAACCCCCAAAUAACUCCUGGCUCCGCUGCGCUUUGCUGCUUCUGAAAAUGACAUUACUUCAGCCUGUCCCAGCAAGGCCUCCAUUUUAUGUACAUUCCUGUCUGAACACUUGAGAAGGGCUCACAGAGUGGGCCAACAGCUUUGUGGCUUUUUAAGCACUUUUAAGUUGCACAUGAAAAGGAGCAAAUAAAGGAAGGUAGAAAUAUCUUAA
Long non-coding RNA from Suricata suricatta (meerkat), 1371 nucleotides. RefSeq lists it as uncharacterized. The transcript has 5 exons. The record is from RefSeq and is a predicted model, not a curated record. Lineage: Eukaryota; Metazoa; Chordata; Mammalia; Carnivora; Herpestidae.